This is a long non-coding RNA of Mytilus trossulus (common blue mussel), 1702 nucleotides long. RefSeq lists it as uncharacterized. The record is from RefSeq and is a predicted model, not a curated record. The transcript has 2 exons. NCBI's taxonomy places the organism in Eukaryota, Metazoa, Mollusca, Bivalvia, Mytilida, Mytilidae.
AUUAUCACCUGCCGAGAACACAUUUUUUACAACGCCAUCUGCAUUUUGGAGCCACGUGUUAUUAGAGAGGAUAAUAUCAAACGUGUUUGAAUGCAUCCCAAAUCUCGUUACGUCAUUUUAUUGCGAAUUGUUGUCAGCUCACAUGAAGCUUUAAACCAGAUUUAUGUAUAUAAACUAUUAAUUUCAGCGUUCUCGUGCCAGCUGUUGUCCUUCUUCCAUGCGACAAUUAAUGAUCUAUCUCGUAAAAUAUCAAAUAGCAUAAAAAACGAUAUAUGCUUUAGUUAUUUUAGUAAGCAAAUUGAUGUAUCUACCGAUCAGUCAAAUUACGUAACUAUUAAUAUGUUUUUAAUAUCUAUGUGUACGCGAAGUAUUGGCAGUGUAGUGUUGAUUCCCUGCAGAGACAUCAACAUCUUCACGCGGAAGUAAAACAAGCAAAGAAAUGGAUCUGUUGAUUGUUGGUUAUACAAGGGAUUUAAUCAGAUAAACAGGAAUGGUUUUCGAUUAUAGAGUAACGUAACAAAACGAAAAAUGGGAGGAGAAAAGGAUUUACAGAAAAACGAAGAACCAACGAAAGACGGAAAAAAGAAAGCUAAAGGACAUAAAAGACUUUUCGCCGUCAGCCCGGAAAAUGUUCCUAACACGAACUUACUUUUAGCAUGUUUAGUGACUUUAUGUUUCAACCCGGUAUUAGGACCUAUAGCUGCGUACUAUUCCCUAACUGCGGCCAAAUCGUACAGUGACGGUGACAAAAGAGACGGUGAAAGACGCGCACUUAUAUCAGUGAUUAUAAGUUUAGUUUCUAUUGUUUUCACUGUAGUACUUGUAAUGACCUUGAUAUUGGUUUUUACAGUUUACACAGAAACGAGGCAUUAAUUUUUGUACUUAAAUACACGUUUAAAUAACGAAUUAUUUAUACGUUGUGCACGGUGCACGGACACGGUCUUCAUUGACGUUUGUUUUAUGCUUAGGAUUGAAAAACCUUCUACAGUACGAAUUAUAACCAGUUUGUUAUUGGAGGUAAAUGUCAUCGUAUUUUGACAUGAAAUAGAUCAAACCACUAGGUUUCAACUGAUCAUUUGAAUAUAUAGACACAUUGUAUGUUUUACUCCGUUCAUUUUAGUAUAAUUGUAACAUUUUAAUAUUUUACACAAUUUUUUUUUUAAAAUUUUUAUCGUUUGAAAAGUUUAAAUUGUGAUCUGCUUCUAUAAAACCCUAUUUCGAACAAAAAGUUAACAAAACUUUGCAGAUGUGCGCUUUAGAGUAUAUCUUUGAUUUUCCUGCUCAGAUUGAUUAUCAUAGGGAUAAUGAAAUCAAUGUAUACAUUGGAUCUUUAUGGUCACUUAUAGCCUACACAGUAGUGGUCUGUACAUGCAAACAGCAGAUAGAAAACCUGAAAGGUCUAAAAUGUUUGUUUAUGACCACUGAUGAAAAUAUGGUAGUAUUAUAAUGCAUGAUAUAUCUAUAUGCACAUCUUAAAUAAUUUCAUUUUUUUAAAUGUAGUUUUAAAGUCCAUGCACUAUCUAUGCAGUAUUACCUAUGCAAAUGCACAGUGCCUUAGUAUACAUGUAGUUUAUAGAUAUUGCGUUCCAAACUGUCAGAUAUAAUAUAUAUACAUAAAUCAUGUUUGUAAAUGUGGCAUAAAAUGCACGAUCAUUAAUAUAUUCAUUCAUCAUGUGUCAUUAUUAUAAAAAUUACUUUGAAA